GCAAGUCGAGCGCUUACCUUCGGGUAGGAGCGGCGGACGGGUUAGUAACGCGUGGGAAUAUACCCUUCACUACGGAAUAGCCUCGGGAAACUGAGAGUAAUACCGUAUACGCCCUUCGGGGGAAAGAUUUAUCGGUGAAGGAUUAGCCCGCGUUGGAUUAGGUAGUUGGUGGGGUAAUGGCCUACCAAGCCGACGAUCCAUAGCUGGUUUGAGAGGAUGAUC
Molecule: ribosomal RNA, 222 nt
Filed under: uncultured bacterium
Lineage: Bacteria
Description: partial 16S ribosomal RNA
Rfam family: Bacterial small subunit ribosomal RNA
Source: RNAcentral